This 502-nucleotide ribosomal RNA is filed under the name uncultured bacterium. Its description in RNAcentral is "bacterial SSU rRNA". It matches the Rfam family "Bacterial small subunit ribosomal RNA", at positions 17 to 518 of the family's 1533-position model. The record is from RNAcentral.
UCCUGGCUCAGGAUGAACGCUGGCGGCGUGCUUAACACAUGCAAGUCGAACGAGGGUUACCGGUUGAAAUUUCGAAUGGAAACGGGUAAUACCUAGUGGCGGACGGGUGAGUAACGCGUGGGGAACCUGCCCCAUUCCGGGGGAUACCAGUUGGAAACGACUGUUAAUACCGCAUAAGCGCACAGUACUGCAUGGUACGGUGUGAAAAAACCACGGUGGAAUGGGAUGGCCCCGCGUCUGAUUAGCCAGUUGGCAGGGUAACGGCCUACCAAAGCGACGAUCAGUAGCCGGCCUGAGAGGGCGACCGGCCACAUUGGGACUGAGACACGGCCCAAACUCCUACGGGAGGCAGCAGUGGGGAAUAUUGCACAAUGGGGGGAACCCUGAUGCAAGCGACGCCGCGUGAGUGAAGAAGUAUUUCGGUAUGUAAAGCUCUAUCAGCAGGGAAGAAGAUGACGGUACCUGCACAAGAAGCCCCGGCUAACUACGUGCCAGCCGCCGC